RNAcentral lists this ribosomal RNA (251 nucleotides) under uncultured bacterium. RNAcentral's name for it is "partial 16S ribosomal RNA". It matches the Rfam family "Bacterial small subunit ribosomal RNA", at positions 526 to 776 of the family's 1533-position model. The record is from RNAcentral.
CGUAGGGUGCGAGCGUUGUCCGGAAUUACUGGGCGUAAAGAGCUCGUAGGUGGUUUGUCGCGUUGUCCGUGAAAACUCACAGCUCAACUGUGGGCGUGCGGGCGAUACGGGCAGACUGGAGUACUGCAGGGGAGACUGGAAUUCCUGGUGUAGCGGUGGAAUGCGCAGAUAUCAGGAGGAACACCAAUAGCGAAGGCAGCUCGCUGGGACGUUACUGACACUGAGGCGCGAAAGCGUGGGGAGCGAACAGG